This 1372-nucleotide ribosomal RNA is filed under the name uncultured bacterium. RNAcentral's name for it is "bacterial SSU rRNA". It matches the Rfam family "Bacterial small subunit ribosomal RNA", at positions 28 to 1381 of the family's 1533-position model. The record is from RNAcentral.
GAUGAACGCUGGCGGCGUGCCUAAUACAUGCAAGUCGAGCGAACGGACGAGAAGCUUGCUUCUCUGAUGUUAGCGGCGGACGGGUGAGUAACACGUGGAUAACCUACCCAUAAGACUGGGAUAACUUCGGGAAACCGGGGCUAAUACCGGAUAAUAUUUUGAACCGCAUGGUUCAAAAGUGAAAGACGGUCUUGCUGUCACUUAUGGAUGGAUCCGCGCUGCAUUAGCUAGUUGGUAAGGUAACGGCUUACCAAGGCAACGAUGCAUAGCCGACCUGAGAGGGUGAUCGGCCACACUGGAACUGAGACACGGUCCAGACUCCUACGGGAGGCAGCAGUAGGGAAUCUUCCGCAAUGGGCGAAAGCCUGACGGAGCAACGCCGCGUGAGUGAUGAAGGUCUUCGGAUCGUAAAACUCUGUUAUUAGGGAAGAACAUAUGUGUAAGUAACUGUGCACAUCUUGACGGUACCUAAUCAGAAAGCCACGGCUAACUACGUGCCAGCAGCCGCGGUAAUACGUAGGUGGCAAGCGUUAUCCGGAAUUAUUGGGCGUAAAGCGCGCGUAGGCGGUUUUUUAAGUCUGAUGUGAAAGCCCACGGCUCAACCGUGGAGGGUCAUUGGAAACUGGAAAACUUGAGUGCAGAAGAGGAAAGUGGAAUUCCAUGUGUAGCGGUGAAAUGCGCAGAGAUAUGGAGGAACACCAGUGGCGAAGGCGACUUUCUGGUCUGUAACUGACGCUGAUGUGCGAAAGCGUGGGGAUCAAACAGGAUUAGAUACCCUGGUAGUCCGCGCCGUAAACGAUGAGUGCUAAGUGUUAGGGGGUUUCCGCCCCUUAGUGCUGCAGCUAACGCAUUAAGCACUCCGCCUGGGGAGUACGACCGCAAGGUUGAAACUCAAAGGAAUUGACGGGGACCCGCACAAGCGGUGGAGCAUGUGGUUUAAUUCGAAGCAACGCGAAGAACCUUACCAAAUCUUGACAUCCUUUGACAACUCUAGAGAUAGAGCCUUCCCCUUCGGGGGACAAAGUGACAGGUGGUGCAUGGUUGUCGUCAGCUCGUGUCGUGAGAUGUUGGGUUAAGUCCCGCAACGAGCGCAACCCUUAAGCUUAGUUGCCAUCAUUAAGUUGGGCACUCUAAGUUGACUGCCGGUGACAAACCGGAGGAAGGUGGGGAUGACGUCAAAUCAUCAUGCCCCUUAUGAUUUGGGCUACACACGUGCUACAAUGGACAAUACAAAGGGCAGCGAAACCGCGAGGUCAAGCAAAUCCCAUAAAGUUGUUCUCAGUUCGGAUUGUAGUCUGCAACUCGACUACAUGAAGCUGGAAUCGCUAGUAAUCGUAGAUCAGCAUGCUACGGUGAAUACGUUCCCGGGUCU